Molecule: ribosomal RNA, 860 nt
Filed under: Teratosphaeria nubilosa
Lineage: Eukaryota; Fungi; Ascomycota; Dothideomycetes; Mycosphaerellales; Teratosphaeriaceae
Description: eukaryotic LSU rRNA
Rfam family: Eukaryotic large subunit ribosomal RNA
Source: RNAcentral
GAAACCAACAGGGAUUGCCCCAGUAACGGCGAGUGAAGCGGCAACAGCUCAAAUUUGAAAUCUGGCGCAAGCCCGAGUUGUAAUUUGCAGAGGAUGCUUCAGGGCAGCGACCGGUCUAAGUUCCUUGGAACAGGACGUCGUAGAGGGUGAGAAUCCCGUAUGCGACCGGUUGGCACCCGUCACGUAGCUCCUUCGACGAGUCGAGUUGUUUGGGAAUGCAGCUCUAAAUGGGAGGUAAAUUUCUUCUAAAGCUAAAUACCGGCCAGAGACCGAUAGCGCACAAGUAGAGUGAUCGAAAGAUGAAAAGCACUUUGGAAAGAGAGUUAAAAAGCACGUGAAAUUGUUGAAAGGGAAGCGCAUGCAACCAGACUUGUCGGCGGUGUUCCGCCGGUCUUCUGACCGGUCCACUCGCCGCCGGCAGGCCAGCAUCAUCUGGGCGCGCCGGACAAAGGCGCGGGGAAUGUAGCUCCUCGGAGUGUUAUAGCCCCGCGCACAAUACGGCGCCGCUCGGGUGAGGUCCGCGCUUCGGCUAGGAUGCUGGCGUAAUGGUUGUCUGCGGCCCGUCUUGAAACACGGACCAAGGAGUCUAACAUCUAUGCGAGUGUUCGGGUGUCAAACCCCUACGCGGAAUGAAAGUGAACGGAGGUGGGAAGCGCAAGCUGCACCAUCGACCGAUCCUGAUGUCUUCGGAUGGAUUUGAGUAAGAGCAUAGCUGUUGGGACCCGAAAGAUGGUGAACUAUGCCUGAAUAGGGUGAAGCCAGAGGAAACUCUGGUGGAGGCUCGCAGCGGUUCUGACGUGCAAAUCGAUCGUCAAAUUUGGGUAUAGGGGCGAAAGACUAAUCGAACCAUCUAGUAGCUG